CGGCCGCGAAAUUCGCCCUUAGAGUUUGAUCAUGGCUCAGAUUGAACGCUGGCGGCAGGCCUAAGACAUGCAAGUCGAACGGUAACGACACUAGCUUGCUAGUGGGCGACGAGUGGCGGACGGGUGAGUAACGCGUAGGAAUCUACCUAGUAGUGGGGGAUAGCCAAGGGAAACUUUGGGUAAUACCGCAUACGAUCUACGGAUGAAAGGGGGCCUCUCUUUGAAGCUCUCGCUAUUAGAUGAGCCUGCGUAAGAUUAGCUUGUUGGUGGGGUAAUGGCUCACCAAGGCGACGAUCUUUAGCUGGUCUGAGAGGAUGAUCAGUCACACUGGAACUGAGACACGGUCCAGACUCCUACGGGAGGCAGCAGUCGGGAAUAUUGGACAAUGGGGGAAACCCUGAUCCAGCCAUGCCGCGUGUGUGAAGAAGGCUCUAGGGUUGUAAAGCACUUUUAGUAGUGAGGAAGGCUCAGUAGUUAAUACCUACUGGGAUUGACGUUAGCUACAGAAAAAGCACCGGCUAAUUUCGUGCCAGCAGCCGCGGUAAUACGAAAGGUGCAAGCGUUAAUCGGAAUUACUGGGCGUAAAGCGCGCGUAGGCGG
RNAcentral lists this ribosomal RNA (600 nucleotides) under uncultured Gammaproteobacteria bacterium. RNAcentral's name for it is "bacterial SSU rRNA". It matches the Rfam family "Bacterial small subunit ribosomal RNA", at positions 1 to 578 of the family's 1533-position model. The record is from RNAcentral. Lineage: Bacteria; Pseudomonadati; Pseudomonadota; Gammaproteobacteria.